RNAcentral lists this ribosomal RNA (508 nucleotides) under Lethocerus sp. 1 HHY-2022a. RNAcentral describes it as "partial large subunit ribosomal RNA". It matches the Rfam family "Eukaryotic large subunit ribosomal RNA", at positions 670 to 1139 of the family's 3401-position model. Lineage: Eukaryota; Metazoa; Arthropoda; Insecta; Hemiptera; Belostomatidae. The record is from RNAcentral.
GGAGUCUAACAUGUGCGCGAGUCAUUGGGUUUGAAAACCUAAAGGCGAAAUCAAAGUGAAAGGCGGUUCGCUUGCCCGAGGGAGGAUGGGCACGUCAGUCGUGGCGGUGCCCCGCACUCCCGGGGCGUUUCUAACUCAUUGCGAGUCGAGGCGCACCCAGAGCGUACACGUUAGGACCCGAAAGAUGGUGAACUAUGCCCGGCCAGGACGAAGCCAGGGGAAACCCUGGUGGAGGUCCGUAGCGAUUCUGACGUGCAAAUCGAUCGUCGGAGCUGGGUAUAGGGGCGAAAGACUAAUCGAACCAUCUAGUAGCUGGUUCCUUCCGAAGUUUCCCUCAGGAUAGCUGGUGCCCGGGUGGGACGAGUCUCAUCCUGUAAAGCGAAUGAUUAGAGGCAUUGGGGGUCGAAACGACCUCAACCUAUUCUCAAACUUUAAAUAGAUGAGAACUCCGGCUUGCUUGAAAGUGAAGCCGGAGAUUCGGAUCAGGGUGCCCAGUGGGCCAAUUUUG